RNAcentral lists this non-coding RNA (91 nucleotides) under human gut metagenome. Its description in RNAcentral is "TPP riboswitch (THI element)". It matches the Rfam family "TPP riboswitch aptamer (THI element)", at positions 7 to 92 of the family's 105-position model. Rfam says of the family: Vitamin B(1) in its active form thiamin pyrophosphate (TPP) is an essential coenzyme that is synthesised by coupling of pyrimidine and thiazole moieties in bacteria. The previously detected thiamin-regulatory element, thi box was extended, resulting in a new, highly conserved RNA secondary structure, the THI element, which is widely distributed in eubacteria and also occurs in some archaea. Analysis of operon structures identified a large number of new candidate thiamin-regulated genes, mostly transporters, in various prokaryotic organisms. The record is from RNAcentral.
UCUUCGGGGUGCCGGAUGCUUCCGGCUGAGAUUGGGCGGCAGACGUCCUGACCCGCAAACCUGAUACGGUUAAUACCGUCGUAGGGAAAGA